This is a long non-coding RNA of Patiria miniata (bat star), 247 nucleotides long. RefSeq lists it as uncharacterized. NCBI's taxonomy places the organism in Eukaryota, Metazoa, Echinodermata, Asteroidea, Valvatida, Asterinidae. The transcript is spliced from 2 exons. The record is from RefSeq and is a predicted model, not a curated record.
CCACUAAUAACCGCAACGAAUGUCGGAUGUGGUGAUGUUUUGAGUCAAAACGGCUCAAAAUCCCACCCAAAUUUCCCCCUUUUCGACCGAAAAGGUUACCUAUUGUUGCAUGUUCGUCAUAAGUAGGAUCAAGGUAACGACGUGAGAAAGAAAUGGAUACAUUAUCUGAAGUAUUUCAUUUGAAAAGUUGAUUAACUGAGCUAAUCCACGAAAUGAACGGUUGACUUUGGCGGUCCAGUAAAAAAAA